AUUGAACGCUGGCGGCAGGCCUAACACAUGCAAGUCGAGCGGAUGAAGGGAGCUUGCUCCUGGAUUCAGCGGCGGACGGGUGAGUAAUGCCUAGGAAUCUGCCUGGUAGUGGGGGAUAACGUCCGGAAACGGGCGCUAAUACCGCAUACGUCCUGAGGGAGAAAGUGGGGGAUCUUCGGACCUCACGCUAUCAGAUGAGCCUAGGUCGGAUUAGCUAGUUGGUGGGGUAAAGGCCUACCAAGGCGACGAUCCGUAACUGGUCUGAGAGGAUGAUCAGUCACACUGGAACUGAGACACGGUCCAGACUCCUACGGGAGGCAGCAGUGGGGAAUAUUGGACAAAGGGCGAAAGCCUGUUCCAGCCAUGCCGCGUGUGUGAAGAAGGUCUUCGGAUUGUAAAGCACUUUAAGUUGGGAGGAAGGGCAGUAAGUUAAUACCUUGCUGUUUUGACGUUACCAACAGAAUAAGCACCGGCUAACUUCGUG
RNAcentral lists this ribosomal RNA (484 nucleotides) under uncultured bacterium. RNAcentral's name for it is "partial 16S ribosomal RNA". It matches the Rfam family "Bacterial small subunit ribosomal RNA", at positions 30 to 507 of the family's 1533-position model. The record is from RNAcentral.